This 1259-nucleotide ribosomal RNA is filed under the name Bacillus subtilis. RNAcentral's name for it is "bacterial SSU rRNA". It matches the Rfam family "Bacterial small subunit ribosomal RNA", at positions 118 to 1360 of the family's 1533-position model. Lineage: Bacteria; Bacillati; Bacillota; Bacilli; Caryophanales; Bacillaceae. The record is from RNAcentral.
UGGGUAACCUGCCUGUAAGACUGGGAUAACUCCGGGAAACCGGGGCUAAUACCGGAUGGUUGUUUGAACCGCAUGGUUCAAACAUAAAAGGUGGCUUCGGCUACCACUUACAGAUGGACCCGCGGCGCAUUAGCUAGUUGGUGAGGUAAUGGCUCACCAAGGCAACGAUGCGUAGCCGACCUGAGAGGGUGAUCGGCCACACUGGGACUGAGACACGGCCCAGACUCCUACGGGAGGCAGCAGUAGGGAAUCUUCCGCAAUGGACGAAAGUCUGACGGAGCAACGCCGCGUGAGUGAUGAAGGUUUUCGGAUCGUAAAGCUCUGUUGUUAGGGAAGAACAAGUACCGUUCGAAUAGGGCGGUACCUUGACGGUACCUAACCAGAAAGCCACGGCUAACUACGUGCCAGCAGCCGCGGUAAUACGUAGGUGGCAAGCGUUGUCCGGAAUUAUUGGGCGUAAAGGGCUCGCAGGCGGUUUCUUAAGUCUGAUGUGAAAGCCCCCGGCUCAACCGGGGAGGGUCAUUGGAAACUGGGGAACUUGAGUGCAGAAGAAGGAGAGUGGAAUUCCACGUGUAGCGGUGAAAUGCGUAGAGAUGUGGAGGAACACCAGUGGCGAAGGCGACUCUCUGGUCUGUAACUGACGCUGAGGAGCGAAAGCGUGGGGAGCGAACAGGAUUAGAUACCCUGGUAGUCCACGCCGUAAACGAUGAGUGCUAAAGUGUUUAGGGGGUUUCCGCCCCUUAGUGCUGCAGCUAACGCAUUAAGCACUCCGCCUGGGGAGUACGGUCGCAAGACUGAAACUCAAAGGAAUUGACGGGGGCCCGCACAAGCGGUGGAGCAUGUGGUUUAAUUCGAAGCAACGCGAAGAACCUUACCAGGUCUUGACAUCCUCUGACAAUCCUAGAGAUAGGACGUCCCCUUCGGGGGCAGAGUGACAGGUGGUGCAUGGUUGUCGUCAGCUCGUGUCGUGAGAUGUUGGGUUAAGUCCCGCAACGAGCGCAACCCUUGAUCUUAGUUGCCAGCAUUCAGUUGGGCACUCUAAGGUGACUGCCGGUGACAAACCGGAGGAAGGUGGGGAUGACGUCAAAUCAUCAUGCCCCUUAUGACCUGGGCUACACACGUGCUACAAUGGACAGAACAAAGGGCAGCGAAACCGCGAGGUUAAGCCAAUCCCACAAAUCUGUUCUCAGUUCGGAUCGCAGUCUGCAACUCGACUGCGUGAAGCUGGAAUCGCUAGUAAUCGCGGAUCAGCAUGCCGC